GACGAACGCUGGCGGCGUGCUUAACACAUGCAAGUCGAACGGAAAGGCCCUGCUUUUGUGGGGUGCUCGAGUGGCGAACGGGUGAGUAACACGUGAGUAACCUGCCCUUGACUUUGGGAUAACUUCAGGAAACUGGGGCUAAUACCGGAUAGGAGCUCCUGCUGCAUGGUGGGGGUUGGAAAGUUUCGGCGGUUGGGGAUGGACUCGCGGCUUAUCAGCUUGUUGGUGGGGUAGUGGCUUACCAAGGUUUUGACGGGUAGCCGGCCUGAGAGGGUGACCGGCCACAUUGGGACUGAGAUACGGACCAGACUCCUACGGGAGGCAGCAGUGGGGAAUAUUGCACAAUGGGCGGAAGCCUGAUGCAGCAGCGCCGCGUGCGGGAUGCCGGCCUUCGGGUUGUAAACCGCUUUCGCCUGUGACGAAGCGUGAGUGACGGUAAUGGGUAAAGAAGCACCGGCUAACUACGUG
Molecule: ribosomal RNA, 468 nt
Filed under: uncultured bacterium
Lineage: Bacteria
Description: partial 16S ribosomal RNA
Rfam family: Bacterial small subunit ribosomal RNA
Source: RNAcentral